This 443-nucleotide long non-coding RNA is filed under the name Mytilus galloprovincialis (Mediterranean mussel). Lineage: Eukaryota; Metazoa; Mollusca; Bivalvia; Mytilida; Mytilidae. The record is from RNAcentral.
UCAAUGAAUUACACAUAGCAUCAAACGGGAUCGAAAAGCUCUUAAAUAAGAUCAACCCACAUAAAGCCACCGGCCCAGAUAACAUCAGUGGCCGCUUACUGAAAGAAAUGCAGACAGAAAUUGCACCAAUUUUAUGCUUAAUUUUUAACAAAUCUUACAACACUGGUAUUACACCUAACGACUGGAAACACGCUAGAGUCGCACCAGCAUAUAAAAAGGGGGAUAAGCAUAAACCGGUCAAUUAUAGACCUAUCUCAUUAACUUGUAUUUGCUGCAAGUUAAUGGAACACAUAGUAACAUCACAUAUUAUGAAACAUCUCGAAUCAAAUAUCAUCUUGUACGACCUCCAACAAGGCUUUCGGCACUCUCGAUCUUGCAAGACACAACUUCUCUCCUUCAUCCAAGAACUUCAAUCUACAAACAAUUCAAAUACACAAACAGAC